Branchiostoma floridae (Florida lancelet) is the source of this 205-nucleotide long non-coding RNA. RefSeq lists it as uncharacterized. The transcript has 2 exons. NCBI's taxonomy places the organism in Eukaryota, Metazoa, Chordata, Leptocardii, Amphioxiformes, Branchiostomatidae. The record is from RefSeq and is a predicted model, not a curated record.
UCUGAGGUGAAGGACUCACCUCGCAGCGUCCCAGCACAGAACAACAUCGCGACCGCUUGAGACAACAGUCCAGGACCUUACUGGUGUCAUCAACCCCGGAUCAACUGCAGCCACAAUGUUUAAGUGAAGUGCUUAUGUGUCUUAUGGGGUUAAAAUGGUAACAUCUUGCAGAUAUGGACUGGGACUAACUUGUCAUAGCCACGAU